RNAcentral lists this non-coding RNA (21 nucleotides) under Arabidopsis thaliana (thale cress). The record is from RNAcentral. Lineage: Eukaryota; Viridiplantae; Streptophyta; Magnoliopsida; Brassicales; Brassicaceae.
ACAAGAUUUGCGGCGCCGCAU